GGGUGUGACUGCGUACCUUUUGUAUAAUGGGUCAGCGACUUAUAUUCUGUAGCAAGGUUAACCGUAUAGGGGAGCCGCAGGGAAACCGAGUCUUAACUGGGCGUUAAGUUGCAGGGUAUAGACCCGAAACCCGGUGAUCUAGCCAUGGGCAGGUUGAAGGUUGGGUAACACUAACUGGAGGACCGAACCGACUAAUGUUGAAAAAUUAGCGGAUGACUUGUGGCUGGGGGUGAAAGGCCAAUCAAACCGGGAGAUAGCUGGUUCUCCCCGAAAGCUAUUUAGGUAGCGCCUCGUGAACUCAUCUUCGGGGGUAGAGCACUGUUUCGGCUAGGGGGUCAUCCCGACUUACCAACCCGAUGCAAACUACGAAUACCGAAGAAUGUUAUCACGGGAGACACACGGCGGGUGCUAACGUCCGUCGUGAAGAGGGAAACAACCCAGACCG
This 445-nucleotide ribosomal RNA is filed under the name Klebsiella variicola. RNAcentral describes it as "partial 23S ribosomal RNA". It matches the Rfam family "Bacterial large subunit ribosomal RNA", at positions 589 to 1034 of the family's 2925-position model. Lineage: Bacteria; Pseudomonadati; Pseudomonadota; Gammaproteobacteria; Enterobacterales; Enterobacteriaceae. The record is from RNAcentral.